AAUAUUGGACAAUGGGCGCAAGCCUGAUCCAGCCAUGCCGCGUGAGUGAUGAAAGCCUUAGGGUUNUCAAGCUCUUUCACCGGUGANGAUAAUGACGGUAACCGGAGAAGAAGCCCCGGCUAUCUUCGUGCCAGCAGCCGCGGUAAUACGAAGGGGGCUAGCGUUGUUCGGAAUUACUGGGCGUAAAGCGCACGUAGGCGGAUUAUUAAGGCAGGGGAGAAAUCCCGCAGCUCAGCGGCGGAAAUGCCUUUAAAACUGGUAAACUAGGGACCGAGAGAGGUAAGUGGAACUCCUAGUGUAGAGGUGGAAUUCGUAGAUAUUAGGAAGAACACCAGUGGCGAAGGCGGCUUACUGGCUCGGAACUGACGCUGAGGUGCGAAAGCGUGGGGAGCAAAC
This 396-nucleotide ribosomal RNA is filed under the name uncultured bacterium. RNAcentral describes it as "partial 16S ribosomal RNA". It matches the Rfam family "Bacterial small subunit ribosomal RNA", at positions 360 to 773 of the family's 1533-position model. The record is from RNAcentral.